This is an RNA transcript of Coffea arabica (coffee), 1257 nucleotides long. It is a transcript of the gene named monothiol glutaredoxin-S15, mitochondrial, with no coding region annotated. Lineage: Eukaryota; Viridiplantae; Streptophyta; Magnoliopsida; Gentianales; Rubiaceae. The record is from RefSeq and is a predicted model, not a curated record.
AACUCUUCAAGCACUUUGCUUAAACCCUGCACCCUCUCACUCUCCAAACUCUCAAACCCUGCACUCCUCGUGGGUCAUCUCCCUGUAAAUUGCCAUAGGUAUCAUAGUUGUUAAAUUUCUGGACACAAGGGCUUGACGUGUGAAGGAUGGAUGCGCUUUUGUAGUUUAAAGCUUAGUGUAGAAAGUUUAAUACAUAAAUCAGCUCGAACAUUAUGGCCUGGUCGUUGGCAGCUGCACUUGGGAGGAGCAUGGCAGCUGUCCCAGCUGCUCGAUCAGCUGCUAUGGCCGCUACAUUCUUCUGUAGAGGUGUAAUUUGCUAUUCAACUACUGUGCCCAAUGAUCCAGACACCCAUGAAGAUUUUAGGCCCACUAUUAAGCUUGAGAGUUCUGGUCUAUCAUUGAAGGACAUUGUUGAACAGGAUGUGAAAGAGAAACACGUUAUGAUUUAUAUGAAAGGGGUGCCUGAUCUUCCUCGCUGCGGGUUCAGCUCAUUAGCUGUGAGGGUGCUGAAAGAAUAUAGUGUACCUAUAAGCGCCAGGAAUAUAUUGGAAGACCUUGAACUUAAGAAUGCCGUAAAAGCUUAUAGCAACUGGCCUACAUUCCCACAAAUAUUCAUCAAAGGUGAGUUCAUUGGGGGAUCAGAUAUCAUCCUGAAUAUGCAUCAGAAUGGUGAGCUUAAGGAAAAGCUGAAGGACAUUAUGGGCGGAUCUGAAAAAGCGGAAUGAGAUAUGUUGCAGAAAUCAUACAUAUUUGGAAAGCAGAAAGUGGUUACUAGAUAUACAAAAAAGCUAUAUGAGAAAGGAGAAAUCACAAAACAAAAUUCGUCAUGUCUACGGAGGAGGUAAAGACCAUACAAUCUGUCAAAGAUUUUCAUAAAUCCUUUCAGUUGAAAUCAAGCAAGCCAGUCUGCUGUGAGUACCUGUGCAAGUGUCCCACAAUGCGACAAAUGGGAAGAUAACGAAGCAAACAAUUCUCAAUGCAAAGACGACGAACACUAUAUAAAAGAUCAAUUUGUCCUAGUGGUUAAGCAGUGUUCAGGUACUAGUAAAACGAUUCAAACAAAACAAUGUGUCGAAUCAAAAAUUCAACCGCUUUUGCGAUAUCACAAGUGCGGAGCAUAUUAAGAAUCCAUUGAAACAUAUGAAGUUUACAUGGAAUCUGAUUUAGGAAAUAAGGUUUCAUGGCCCCUUCAUCAUGUACUCUUUUGCAAGUAUUUAAAUAAACAGGUCGAGAUCUAACUCCGAUCAAUUUUUGGAG